GAGAAGGUUUACCUAUCUGGGCC
RNAcentral lists this non-coding RNA (23 nucleotides) under Mus musculus (house mouse). Lineage: Eukaryota; Metazoa; Chordata; Mammalia; Rodentia; Muridae. The record is from RNAcentral.